UAGGUUACUAUCGCCUGACACUCCUGAC
RNAcentral lists this small RNA (28 nucleotides) under Bombyx mori (domestic silkworm). RNAcentral's name for it is "ovarian small RNA-6430". The record is from RNAcentral. Lineage: Eukaryota; Metazoa; Arthropoda; Insecta; Lepidoptera; Bombycidae.